Molecule: ribosomal RNA, 301 nt
Filed under: uncultured bacterium
Lineage: Bacteria
Description: partial 16S ribosomal RNA
Rfam family: Bacterial small subunit ribosomal RNA
Source: RNAcentral
CAGUCGCCGCGGUAAUACGGAGGGUGCAAGCGUUAAUCGGAAUUACUGGGCGUAAAGCGUGUGUAGGUGGUUGUUUAAGUCUGUCGUGAAAGCCCUGGGCUCAACCUGGGAAUUGCGAUGGAUACUGGGCGACUAGAGUGCGGUAGAGGAUAGUGGAAUUUCCGGUGUAGCAGUGAAAUGCGUAGAGAUCGGAAGGAACAUCUGUGGCGAAGGCGACUAUCUGGGCCAACACUGACACUGAGACACGAAAGCGUGUGGAGCAAACAGGAUUAGAUACCCCCGUAGUCCCUGUCUCUUAUAC